CCUACGGGUGGCAGCAGUGGGGAAUAUUGGACAAUGGGAGGAACCCUGAUCCAGCCAUGCCGCGUGUGUGAAGAAGGCCCUCGGGUUGUAAAGCACUUUCAGUGAGGAAGAACGCCUGGUGGUUAAUACCCAUCAGGAAAGACAUCACUCACAGAAGAAGCACCGGCUAACUCCGUGCCAGCAGCCGCGGUAAUACGGAGGGUGCGAGCGUUAAUCGGAAUUACUGGGCGUAAAGCGCGCGUAGGUGGCUUGAUAAGCCGGUUGUGAAAGCCCCGGGCUCAACCUGGGAACGGCAUCCGGAACUGUCAAGCUAGAGUGCAGGAGAGGAAGGUAGAAUUCCCGGUGUAGCGGUGAAAUGCGUAGAGAUCGGGAGGAAUACCAGUGGCGAAGGCGGCCUUCUGGACUGACACUGACACUGAGGUGCGAAAGCGUGGGUAGCAAACAGGAUUAGAUACCCGUGUAGUC
This 465-nucleotide ribosomal RNA is filed under the name Vreelandella stevensii. RNAcentral's name for it is "partial 16S ribosomal RNA". It matches the Rfam family "Bacterial small subunit ribosomal RNA", at positions 338 to 795 of the family's 1533-position model. The record is from RNAcentral. Lineage: Bacteria; Pseudomonadati; Pseudomonadota; Gammaproteobacteria; Oceanospirillales; Halomonadaceae.